GCCUGGUUGGCUCAGUUGGUUAAGCAUCUGCCUUUGGCUCAGGUCAUGACCCCAGGGGCUUGGGAUCCAGUCCCACAUCAGGCA
RNAcentral lists this transfer RNA (84 nucleotides) under Mustela putorius furo (domestic ferret). It matches the Rfam family "tRNA". From Rfam's summary of the family: Transfer RNA (tRNA) molecules are approximately 80 nucleotides in length. Their secondary structure includes four short double-helical elements and three loops (D, anti-codon, and T loops). Further hydrogen bonds mediate the characteristic L-shaped molecular structure. tRNAs have two regions of fundamental functional importance: the anti-codon, which is responsible for specific mRNA codon recognition, and the 3' end, to which the tRNAs corresponding amino acid is attached (by aminoacyl-tRNA synthetases). tRNAs cope with the degeneracy of the genetic code in two manners: having more than one tRNA (with a specific anti-codon) for a particular amino acid; and 'wobble' base-pairing, i.e. permitting non-standard base-pairing at the 3rd anti-codon position. The record is from Rfam by way of RNAcentral. Lineage: Eukaryota; Metazoa; Chordata; Mammalia; Carnivora; Mustelidae.